AAAUUGAAGAGUUUGAUCAUGGCUCAGAUUGAACGCUGGCGGCAGGCCUAACACAUGCAAGUCGAACGGUAACAGGAAGAAGCUUGCUUCUUUGCUGACGAGUGGCGGACGGGUGAGUAAUGUCUGGGAAACUGCCUGAUG
RNAcentral lists this ribosomal RNA (141 nucleotides) under Escherichia coli. Its description in RNAcentral is "partial 16S ribosomal RNA". It matches the Rfam family "Bacterial small subunit ribosomal RNA", at positions 1 to 135 of the family's 1533-position model. The record is from RNAcentral. Lineage: Bacteria; Pseudomonadati; Pseudomonadota; Gammaproteobacteria; Enterobacterales; Enterobacteriaceae.